CUGGAUAACCACUUAGUUAGUCAUGGGGUUCUUUAACUAUGUGUGACCACUAGCCAUCCAUCCACGAUAUUAGCUUUUUGAAGAGUUUUUUCAAACACAAACUCUUUGAAAAUUUGAAAAAACUAUAAGAGGACAUUUUUCAUAUCAAAGUUUUUCAAGUCGCAUGUAAAUUAACAAAGAUUUUUCACUACACUUUUUCAAUGGAUAAUUCCCGAUAAACGGGCUCUUGAAUAGAAAAUAAAUCGUGCCAAACGUUGCAUUGGAAAGUGAAACCUUCUCCUAAAAAUAACUUUGUCCAAUAUCGUUUCACUUCCGUUACCAUACCAACCCCACGUAGCCAUGACCAAUCGACCAACGGUGCCAAUGCAAACUCCCGAUUGUACAACCAUCCCAGCUUGUUCGCAUAAUUAUUGAGCAUUGUUUGCGAAACAUUUUGAGGGAAUCGAUAUAACGGAUGUAUACUUGGAACAUCAAUGUGGUCUUGUUCUUCCGGAAUCGCACACCUUGGUCCCAUGGUACCUAAAAAAGUAACAACAAACAAAACACCAAAACCACCAAACAAUUAAGCAGUAAGCAAAAAAUUGGAUAACUGUCCGCUCAGUUUUCACGUCGUGAUGUUGGUUCGUGACGAAUUUGCAGUCGUUCAUUCCAAGGUCAAAUCGAAAUCAAAUUGAUUUUUGGGGUUUGUGUAAUAUGCUAUUCUAAGGCUUUUUAACAUACACGCAACCACGAUUCACUUGACAAAUCGACUCAAUUUUGGCGUUAAAGCUUUAAGAACAAACCAUAAGUCAAAAUGCCUAAAUCUAAAAAAGUAAAGAUUAAUAAACUUAUAGAAAAUACCUUUUACGACGUAAUGUAGAAGAGAAGCAAGAAAAAUGAAGAUUUCAGCAGAAAUCGAAGUGUGGGGGGACCAAUCGCAGCUUCACGUUGUAAUGUAUGAACAAAGGAGUUUGAAGAAAG
RNAcentral lists this long non-coding RNA (960 nucleotides) under Lactuca sativa (garden lettuce). Its description in RNAcentral is "long non-coding RNA (LSAT_LNC009103)". The record is from RNAcentral. Lineage: Eukaryota; Viridiplantae; Streptophyta; Magnoliopsida; Asterales; Asteraceae.